GUCUCAAGAUCCUCAUCCUCUGGAAUACUUGGGGAAGAUGGUGUUUGUCUUGUCUUACAUCUGUUUCUGAGUCGUCCCCCUUGCAGCCUGAGUCAUGCACAACCCUUGGUUCUGGGUUAAAAGGAAUAGUCAGGUGAAAAGAGAAAAGGGGAUUUGUAAAUGGACAUCUCCAGCUCACAGAUGGAAAAGUGCUUUGGAAAUCUGCCUUGUUGCUCUCGCUAUCCGCCAUCUCAACUUGCAUUCCUAGUGUCAUUCACUUCCGAUUCCCUGUUACCACAGAGCUACGUCACCUUCAUCUCUCACCUGGAUUAUUGCACUAAUCCCCUCAUAUUGACCUACUUCUAGAAUAAUCUAUUCUCAGCAGGGAAGCCAGACUGAUUCUAAUAAUUUGUAAGAUAAUAUCUGUAGUCAAGACCCUCCAGAGCUACCCCACGUUACUUGGAGUAAGAGCCUGAAUCCCUACAAUGGCCCAUAGGCCAUAGCUGAUGGUCUAGGUGACUACUUCUCCACCUAUUACUACUUAUGCUUACUGCUUACUACUGUAACCUAUUUCCAUGCUUACUCUUGUUUCCCACACCCCUCUGGCCACAUGGGCUUCCCAACUGUUUCUGUAGCAUACCAAACAGCUUGGUCCAGAUCACUGCCUCCCAGGUAUCAGCAUGGCUCACUCAACUAGAUCUGUCCUGAUCAUGCUAUUUAAAUUGCUACCUGUCUCACCUUCCAGCAUUCCUAUUCCUUUCUAGCUUCAUUUCACUUCAUAGCACUUGUUCCUUAAUACAUUAUGCAGUUUACUUAUUCAUCUUAUUGCUUAUCUUGAUCCAAUAGAAUGUAAAUGUCACAAGGGCAGAGAUUUUUUUUCUGUUU
This is a non-coding RNA of Macaca mulatta (Rhesus monkey), 864 nucleotides long. Lineage: Eukaryota; Metazoa; Chordata; Mammalia; Primates; Cercopithecidae. The record is from RefSeq and is a predicted model, not a curated record.